AGACGAUAGCACUUCAAAUUAUUUUUAAAAUGCGUGGGAAAUCUAAGACUGUUCUCAGCAUCACAAGCCUCGUUCUGAGUGUUGUUACUAUCAGUGUUGUACUAUUUACACUGCAGUCUUCAUCAAAUACACUUGUUCAUAAUCAAAUCGAAAUCUUUCAGCUUUUGAAAGGGGAGAGUACAUCACCGGA
Physella acuta is the source of this 190-nucleotide long non-coding RNA. RefSeq lists it as uncharacterized. Lineage: Eukaryota; Metazoa; Mollusca; Gastropoda; Physidae. The record is from RefSeq and is a predicted model, not a curated record.